This 666-nucleotide long non-coding RNA is filed under the name Catharus ustulatus (Swainson's thrush). Its description in RNAcentral is "lncRNA (ENSCUSG00005015600.1)". Lineage: Eukaryota; Metazoa; Chordata; Aves; Passeriformes; Turdidae. The record is from RNAcentral.
UGCUUCUGAUCUUGCUCCCUUCUAGGUUGGGAUCAUGCUAGAAAGGCUUCUCCAGGAGCUUGGCUUCAGGAAGGUUUCCAGCCUCUGGAGCCUCGUGCAGGUAUGUUCUCAGCAUCCCACCAAGGAAUAAUCUUUGAUAACCUGGUAGGAACUAGAAACUUCAGUGACUGUUGAGUUACAGGUGUGUCUGCAGGGAAGUCUUUUCCAGCUCCUUUGCUGGUUGUUCCACAUCAGCCCAGAUCCCAUCGCAGGGGUGAGUAGUGUGUCCCUGCUGACCCCACAGACUGAGCACUGCUUUUGAGGGAUCCAUUCAUCUGAAAUGGAAAUACUUUCUGAUAAGGUCCGCCAAGCAGAAAUGAAAUUUCACCAGAAAUGAAAGCAGAGGCUAUGCUGAAGACUGAGUUUCCCAGAAGGAAGCAGUGGCUCAUGGGCAGCCUCUGCUGCAGAAACCGAGGCGAUGCCAGACUCAGUCACAGGAGAGAUGGAGCAAAAGGCCUUGCUGGAGGCAGCGUUUUCUAGAUUAAUCAGUGGCUCUGAGCCACCACCUGGUACACGAAGGGAGGAGAUGCCAGACAGAGCCACAGAAGGUGAUUGCUGUGCCAGGCCCAGGCAGGCUGAACAGUCCUGCUGGGAUCCUUCCGUGGGAGACACCGCCCGAAACCUGGG